GGACCAUCUCCCCAGACCGGUCACCUCUUCCUGGGUCAGAGCCGCUGACCCCCCAUCACCAGCUGUAAUAACUGGCGCCCGAACAGCCUUGGACCCCGGACCCCGGACCUGGCCUGAGCUGUGUCUUGACACGCCAAGACAGAACCAGCCGUUCGUGUGCUGCUCCUCUGAAGAUAGACCUACGUUUUAGCAGGCCUUUUGGACGGGGACAGUUCGAGACCCUUGCCUCCCACCUAGGACUGAAGUCCCUGAGGAUCGAACUGCCAGACCAUCCCCCCAGCAGACCUUUCUAGGAGCCAGCCUCACCAGAAAACGGGAUUUGGUAAGAAUUGCCAGAAGAGCUUUCUGCUGUUGAAAUGCUAAACUCCCCUAUUCAGUAACUGUACUGAGUUCAGUGAAAUACUUAGUACAUAGGAAAUAAUUACUCUCCUUUGACAAACUUCAUGAAACUGAAAUACAGGGUAAUUCAAAAUUAGGUUCAUAAUGCCUGAUUCCUGGAUAUCAGAACAGAACAAGCUCAAAACCUAGCUUCUUAACAGAGGAGGAGACAAAAUUUAACUUGUAAGUAUUUCCUUACAUUAUUUCUGGGCUAAAUCUAUUUACUCCUGGGGUGGGGUUUUUUUGUUUUUUUGUUUUUGUUUUUGUUUUUGUUUUUGUUUUUGUUUUUUAUGUUUGCACAGUAGAGGGAGCUGAAAGUUUAAAAUGUAUAUUCAGUAUGUAACUGUUGCCUGUAAAGAUGAGAAAUGUGGGUGGAAUAACGCAUGAGGUUUUAGCAUUGUAGUUCAGGAAGAUCAUGGACAUUUAUUCCAAGCUACUAAGUUAAAUGAGUCAGAGGAUUUUAAGUCAGUGGCAUUAAUGGUCUUACCUGGAAGCAUUACCAUGUAGAAUGUAAGACAGCAGAGGCUGCUCAACCAUAUGCUUUGCAGCUGAUUUUAUUAAACUACAGCUUACCUUCAUGCUGUUCAUGUUCAGAAAUACUCAUUUAAUGGAAAAAUUUAAAUAUAUAUAUUUCGUUACCUUUUUAAUGCUUUGAGAAUUGAGAAUUGAGAAAUAAUCUUUUCAGAUUCUUCAAGUGUUGAGGUUUUCUUUCAGUUGCCAUCAAAUUGGUUUCAGUUGAGCCUGAGAUUCAGUCCAAUGGAGCUCCCAAUAUAAAGGCACAUGUAUUUGUCCUUCAGCCUGUUUCUGUGAACACAGUCCAUGUUAACCUCUCCUUCUCCUAUCUCCAUUAGAUUAAACUAUUUAUGCUAAGCCCAUUUUGAUAAAACCAGGCAAGGGAGUGGCUGCAUUUUUAGGGGCCUGGUAGAUUUGGAAGAAAAUGUAAACCUGUGUUAUCUUUUGCCUUCCCAAAGCUACAGGCACCAUGCACGUCCUAAUGAAAAGUCCCUCAAUUAGUGUUUAUUUCCAACACACAUGGGAAUCAUCAGGAAACCCUCUAAAGAAUAAAAUGCCCCAUUUUCCUUGCUGUCCUUUGACUGUAUUAGAAAAAUCACCUACCUCGCAGCAACCCUACUUGAUCCUCCUGUUUCUGGGGCAUCUCUGAACACCUUCAGAGAAGCAUGGAGCAGCACCUCUGCUCUGCUGAGGGCAGAACUUCUUUUGAGCAAUUUGGCUGGGGCCCGGCUGCUUUCUUAGUUGCAGAGAGGGGCCAGUUAACAUGCUGCCUUUUGAGGCACAUCUGCUGCAUGGCCUCCCCUGGGUGGAAGCAGCAGAGGAGCUGAGACCUCAACAGGCAGCUUGGGUACAUCAUGAGGCCACACCUGACCAAAGCUGCAGUGACCUCUGUGGCUGUGAGUUCUUUUGGCUCUUACAGUCGGGAAAGCCUUGAUUUUCCUCCAUAUCCUUUGUCUGGGAAUUAGAAGGUCUAGUGUACAAAUGUAAGUGUACAAGGUGUACAAAGGUGUCAGCAAAAGGCAGAGGAGGGGAGGGCUUUGAAGGUUCUUUUAAGUGAAGACAAGAAAUUUGCAAAAAACAACUUUAGGCAGUAGGAUUUUCUUAAUGUGAUGAGAUGCCUGGCACUGAUGGCAAAAAACGUUUAUUGUGAAUUUAAUAGAGGAUGUGACAGAAUGAGAGCUCUAGAUGCAUGGACAGUCACAUCUCAGGCAAGGGGAGAGGAAGGCACGAAAAAGAUCAACACUAAGAUUUGUGAGCUUAAAAGAUGAAGUUAAUUUUGUGAGUGGCAUUUUGGAAACAGAAAUUGCCACUUUUACAUCAGAUCUUUCCUGUUGUUACCUGUAUUAUUAAAAGAGAUGGCUUUAUAAGCAAUUGUUUAAUCCCUGUAUAUGAUUCAUCCUGCUGUUUCUUUGCAGAUGGCUGCAGGAAUGGCAGUUCAGGCUGUGCACCACGGGGUGUCUCUCCCUGGUAGAGUAUGGCAUCCUUUCUGCUGUGACCCACAUCCUCUCCCCGCCGAUAAUUACUUUCUCUUAUCUGAUGAAGAAAAUUCCCUUCAAAGGAUUUCUUUGAUUAAGGAAAUUCAUUAAUAUGAUGUCCAGAUAAUAUUAAUGCUUCCCUGCUUAAGUCUUGUCAUUUACUGUUUGAUCAGCACAUUAUUCCAUAGAAGAUCAGCAUCUUUGGAGUUUAAUGGAAGCUCUGCUAUCAAUUAAUUAAUAUUUUUUAGGUUCCAGAAAAAAAAAAAUUGAGAAAAGUAAAUCCAUGUGUUAUUAUUGCAGGAAACAUCCCUGCCCAUCUCCUACACAUACAGAUUUAAUGUAAAUCCUUGGGAGUGUUUACCUGAGGAACAAUCUCCUGCUUGGGCUUUCUGAGAUCAUCUCGCAAACUGUCAUAUUCAUACUCAGCAAAACAGAGAAAUUAAAUAAAUGUUUAGGAAAUUAAGGUCCUUUUGACGCUACGAGCAACAGCUAAACGGUGUGAUUGUUCACAGUUCCCACUAGAUGGCUCCCGAGGUUCAGAGGUGAUGCAGUGCCGAGCACACAGGAUUUGAUUAAUGACCAGCGAUUCUAUCAUGUCAUAAACCACUGCUGCAAAGAACAGCUUUAGCCCAGGCAUCACCACAGGGGACGUGUGCAUAAAGAACAGUGUUCUAUAACGGGCCUGUGAGCACACAUGCAGAGAGCAAAUGAAACAACGUGGUGACCAGCAACAAUUAAACGAAUUCAAUGGUUCCUUAAAAUUUGUUUUAACAAGCUCUGAUUGGAUCUGUUGUUAUCUCAAUCCUCCAGGCCCUACAUUGGGCACCAAAAAUGUCUGUUUUGGUUUAAUCCCAGCCAGCAACUAAGAGCCAUGUAGCUGUCACCUCACUACCCUCACCCCAGUGGGAAGAGAAUUGGAAAGAAGAGGCAAAACUCAUGGGUUGAAUUGAGAACAGUUUAAUAAUCGAAACAAAAUAAAAUGUGCUACUACAGCUACUGACAAUUGUAAUGGAAAAGAGAGACAAGGAGCAAUAAAAACAAAUAGAAACAAGUGAUGCACAACACCAUUGCUCACCACCCCACUGACUGAUGCUCAGCCCAUCUCCCAGCAGCAAUCGGUGCCUCCUGGCCAACUCCCCCCAGUUUAUAUACUGGACAUGAUGUCCUGUGGUCUGGAAUAUCCCUUUGGCCAGUUUGGGUCAGCUGUCCUGGCCAUUUUCCCUCCCAGCUCCUCACUGGCAGAGCACGGGAACCUGAAGAGCCCCUGGCUCAGGUUAAGCACUGCUGAGCACCAACUGAGCCAUCAGUGUGUUAUCAACAUCAGUCUCAUACUGAAUUCAAAACAUCACACUGUACCAGCUAAGAAGAAAAUUAACUCUAUUAACUAACUCAGCUGAAACCAGGACAGAUCUUUUUUAUUUAUUUCUCCCAGAAAGAAAGAAAUAUUACAAGGAAUCUCUUAAAGGAAAUGUAUUCAUUUAAGAAAUAGAAUUUCUUACGUGAACACAGCUUUCAUCACAAGUUCAGUCAUAGGCCUUCACUUUAUUCAGAAUUAAGAAUAGCAGUGUUCUGAAGAGCAGACAAAAGAAUUAACAGCCAUGGUUCUGAUAGAGGAAGAGUUGGGACAUAUGUGUAGAAGACAGAGCAAGUUUAAAAUAUUUGGAGGUAAUACUGUUUUUUAAAAGUAGUUGCUUAAUUUACAGUGUGAAUGGGUUUUGGGUUUUUGAUUAAAUAUUUAGGAUUCUUUUUUCCCCCCACUUUAAGCACUUUUGGGGAAUUAUAAUUAUGUAAUGUUAUAAUUAUUUUUGUUCUGGGUUAUUCUGCUUGGAAUUGGUUUUGAAACUCACAUUUAUUUGAACCUCUAGUGUAUAAUUAAGGCAAAUGACACUCUUGUAAGAGUAGUGCAAAAAACCCCCUACCUCUGAUGUGUUCUACACUGUUUGACUUUACUGUGAACUUUCAAUCUUGGUUUGGCUUUCGGGCUGGGGGAGAUUUCAUAUUCUCCGAUAGCUCUCACUUCCUCUAGUGCAGCAUUGUACUCUGCUAAGGUCAAGCAGUAAAUUCCACCUGAAAUCAUCGAGUUGAAACUCAGUAGCUGAUACAGUAGUUGGAAAUGGCAAGUGUGCAUGUGGGCCAGUGGUACACCACCUGCUGUGCCUGUCAUCCACUUACAUCCUUCCUCUGAUUUAGAAAUCCCUGGAGACAAUGCCAAAGAUAGCUCGCCUUUGGAAUAUUUUAUAUCUGUGUCUGCCAACAAAAUAGCUGCCUAUGUCAGUUAAUCUCGAUUAUUUAAAGCCCUUUUGCUCAUCUAUAUUAUUUGUUCACUUCCCUUCCAUGGAAAAAUUUAGUAUCUAGUAAAUUUGUUAUGGGAACUAUUGUUACCUCAUUUUGUUGUUUUUGAUCUUUUCUAAAUUUAAAAUAAAAAGAAGUGAUGGUAAGAAGGGAUCCUGACUAAGAUUUAACUGGUACUUCCAAGAGAUGCAGAUCAUUCUACUAUUAGAGCCAAAAACAGCGAGAGAUUUUUACAGCAGUUCAAUUAAAUAUGAAGGGCUACAUGUUCUGUUAAAGGUACAUUUUUGAUGAACAAAACCUUUCAUAAAAAGUAAACAUUUGAAAAGAUAGUAUUUCCUUUCUUCAAUAGUUUCUACUUUCAUCUGAGGAUUGAUAUUAUUUCAUGUUACCUAAUGCAUAAAUACACACUUUACUUUUCUUAAUAAUAGCAGGAAUUUCCUUAAAAUUAAAGUUAGUUCUCAGUGAAUCAGAGAUUGAGCACACCAGUCUCAGCAGCCUACACUGCUGUUUGAUACAAUACAAAGAUAGUGAGUGCUACCAAGAUAAAUCUUCAACCCACUGUUCCCACCUGUGUCCUGUUCUUAUUUCUGUGCUGCCCCAGAUGUUUGAGAAACAUCAUUUUUUCAAAUGAGAGCUAUGGUCACUUGUCACAUUGAGAUAUUCUCUGUCAUUUGAGGUCAGCAGAACCCGAGCAGAUGCUCUCCCUUCUGAAAGUGCAACAAACUCAAUUAAACCUUUAAUUGAGGCACUUGUAAAUGCAAACAGCAGUUUCAUUCCUAUGUGGGGGAAAUAAUUGGUGUCCUUCACUGAGGUAAUUUGGAGGGAAUCCCAAGACAUGAAAGUAUGCGGUCAAAUGGUAAAAGAACCCUUGUGAAUGGAUACAUUUGCAGUACCUGGACAGAUUUAUGAAAGAGACAGAAAACACAAGCAAUGGUGUCUUUGACACAUCACCUUUCUUUCCUCCCUUCCCCUUUUUCAAUGGCAGUGACAAUCAGUGAUAUUCUUCAGGCAACUGCCAACAAAUUUUCUCCAAAUUUCUCGUUAAUAAUUAAAAGUAUUUACUGUGCAUAUCUUCUCAGUCAGGAGUAAGGGAGGCAGUACUAAUAAAGUGAAUGAUGAAGGGGUCUUCUCCUCAAGUAAUGAAACCUGGGGCUCUGCACCGUGGCACUCCAAGGGAAAUUGGUCAAGUAAAACAGCAAGAGGCAAUAUUUAUGCCUGCUUUCACAUUUUAUGCAAUUUGUAGCACAUGCUGUGAGAUGUGUCAGUGAAAGAGAUGUAAGUGUUCUGUGCAUGAACUGGGCUUGCCUUGGGACUGUAAAGAUGACAAGAUUAAAAUAGGAUGAUUUAUUAUGAUAGAAAUACUUGUGAAUGCAAUAGUAGGUUGAACUCAGCCUUAAUGAAAACAUGUUAUGAUUUAUUUUUUUUAUUUUCUAUUUUACUUUAGAAGGACAAUUAUACUAAGAAUUAGAUAAUUAGAAAUGUUAUGUAUUGCACUCAUUUGGUGCUGCCAAAUAACGUUAUAUUUACUAUAGUAAUAUUUUCCAUUUUAUAUAGUGCUGCAUUUUUCCAUGGAAUGGAAAUUUAUGGAAUUUCUCAUUUAAGAAGUGUCCUAGGAUCUGUCUUGCUCAACCCUAAUGCCAGUCAUUCAUGCACCUAGGAAGGACAAUUAGUCUGUUGUCAUGCUAAGGAGAUGCUGGUGCAUAACUGCACUGAUCAGAGCCCACAUGUGGAAUCAGAAAUCCUGUGCUCAGACUGAACUCAAAUAGGCUUUGCUGCUUUCUCUUGCAGUAGGUUUAUGUUGCUAUCUCACCAAUCUCUGUGGAGUCAGCUGAGUUCCAAUGAUUAUAAAAUGAUCCUUGAAUGUUCCUUCAGAUAUAUGUCAGCCUUCAGCUCUGUAAUAUUUUGUACGAAAAUAAAUUCUAACAGUGUUAUUAUUUCUA
Molecule: long non-coding RNA, 6598 nt
Organism: Corvus hawaiiensis (hawaiian crow)
Lineage: Eukaryota; Metazoa; Chordata; Aves; Passeriformes; Corvidae
Exons: 3
Source: RefSeq, a predicted model, not a curated record